Long non-coding RNA from Pezoporus occidentalis (night parrot), 1768 nucleotides. RefSeq lists it as uncharacterized. The record is from RefSeq and is a predicted model, not a curated record. NCBI's taxonomy places the organism in Eukaryota, Metazoa, Chordata, Aves, Psittaciformes, Psittacidae. The transcript is spliced from 6 exons.
UGUUCACAAUGUGUUUUGCCUACAUUGUCAUAGCCUUUCAAAGUGCACAAGAUGACUCCCAUCAUGGCCAUGGAAAGUCAGGAUACUCAUCAGGAAAAAUAGCCAACACAGACAUUUUGAAGAUAAACCAUUAAGAAUAAUCCAUGAACAACUCCCAUAAAAAAUGUUAGCUGCUUAGGAGAUAGAGAUUUAGCUUUUAAUGCUGAUCUUUUCUCCCUGCAGAAUAUUGCUCCCACCUUAUCAAUAUUUUACAAAAGAAAGAGAAACCUUCUACAGCUGCAGAGUCAAUUUGGAGGGAUUAAAAAUUUAUCCUGUUUUGAGCAAAGCUUUCAGCAGGUGCUCGAAUCCACUUAAUCACAGGAAAAAAAUAGAGUGCUACGUGAUGUUACCUUUCAUGAAAGGGAUUUCCAGCAAAGAUGGUAGAAUAUUUUCUUAACCCAUGAAAAUUGCCAACUGCAGAAACACUUCACAUCUAUGUGACCUGCAGAUCCAGGGCAUUUAAAUGCGCGUCCCCCUAAGGACACUCAGCUCCCUGCCACUUUGGACAGUGUCCCAGCAGUGGAGCGGUCACAUGAAUCUUGGAGUACAUCAGCAUCUUUCUCAUUGAAAAGUAAUCGGGAAUCCCGAAAUGGCUCAUUACAUCCCUGCUGCCAUCAGCACCUUCCAUGAUAGGUGGUGUUUGCUAUGAUGAGAGAAUCACUGCAAAGAUUACAGACCAUGAACUUCAACUAUAAAAUAAGCUUCAGUUCAGAGAUUCUGGUGGCUUCUAGCAAUGACCAUGCUGCACACAGGGCUGUCCUUCCCCCACAUACUUAAGUGUGCAGCCUGAAUGUACAGCCACUGGUAGGUACAAGCAGGGGUUAAGCCUCAGGUACAAGUUCAAGGACACACCCGUGUGGCAGUGGUGAGCACUCUGACUUAGCGAUGAUCUUCAGUCUCUCAAAGUCACAGUCCUUGAGAAUUUCCUGACCACGUAAAUAAAGUUGUUGGUUUCCAUUGGCUGUUAAUGAGUCAAAGAGCAGCUCAGCACACUGACAAAGGCAUCCAUUUAUUGUCAUCCGCAGGUGUACUGAGCCACAGUGCAGAAACAGGGCAUGGAGUCCAGUACACUGCUGUGAGAUCACAGUUCCACUGGUGAACUGAUGGUAUGUGCUCAGGAAAAUAGCUCUGCUGUUUGCCCUCUGCAACUGCUAUCAGCAAGCUGUUCCCUCUGAUUUCCAGACUAAACUUAUUUGUGGUUGAUUUAUACUCACUUACUUACUAUUGUGCAGAUAAUACUCUUGCUUUAUGCUUGGGCCACAUACAAAAUAACGUGAUGGAAAGAGAUGUUAAACUCUAAAAAGGGAUUUUUAUGUUGGUAGUAAUAAGGUUCAUAGUAGGAAUUAAUAUUUCCUUAUGAGGUCUGGAUCAUUUAAGGAGAAGGGAACAUUUGUUAAACAACCCAAGACUUCAUUUGAUGCACAAGUGCUGCAUCCCUUAUGAAACAGAAGUAUCUCUGUGCUCUAUUAUUUUCUCUACUUAAAAUUAGAUUAUAACAGAUGCCAUCCCCUCACUAUGCAGUUCAAUGCCAGCAAACGUAAGUCUCUCAUCACUUAGCUAAGCCUGAUGUUCUCACUUUCUAGACUCACCAUUAAAAUUCUCAUACUUUGCAGCAGUUACAUUAAACCUGUUCCCAGUUAUGGAUUAGGCUGCAAAUGCAGGAUUUCCCGUGGUUAAGGUGGUCUUGUCUGUUCUAAUAGCAGAACUGAAUUACAAAAUUCAAAUCCUG